GAUGAACGCUGACAGAAUGCUUAACACAUGCAAGUCUACUUGAACUUCGGUUUGGGUGGCGGACGGGUGAGUAACGCGUAAAGAACUUGCCUCACAGAUAGGGACAACAUUUGGAAACGAAUGCUAAUACCUGAUAUUAUGAUUUUAAGGCAUCCUAGAAUUAUGAAAGCUAUAUGCACUGUGAGAGAGCUUUGCGUCCCAUUAGCUAGUUGGAGAGGUAACGGCUCACCAAGGCGAUGAUGGGUAGCCGGCCUGAGAGGGUGAUCGGCCACAAGGGGACUGAGAAGCGGCCCUUACUGCACCGGGAGGCAGCAGGGGGGAAUAUUGGACAAGGGACCAAGAGUCUGAUCCAGCAAUUCUGAGUGCACAAUGAAGUUUUUCGGAAUGAAAAGUGCUUUCAGUUGGGAAGAAAAAAAUGACGGUACCAACAGAAGAAGUAACGGCUAAAUACGUG
RNAcentral lists this ribosomal RNA (454 nucleotides) under uncultured bacterium. RNAcentral describes it as "partial 16S ribosomal RNA". It matches the Rfam family "Bacterial small subunit ribosomal RNA", at positions 28 to 507 of the family's 1533-position model. The record is from RNAcentral.